This 73-nucleotide transfer RNA is filed under the name Gloeochaete wittrockiana. RNAcentral's name for it is "tRNA-Gly". It matches the Rfam family "tRNA". From Rfam's summary of the family: Transfer RNA (tRNA) molecules are approximately 80 nucleotides in length. Their secondary structure includes four short double-helical elements and three loops (D, anti-codon, and T loops). The record is from RNAcentral. Lineage: Eukaryota; Glaucocystophyceae; Gloeochaetales; Gloeochaetaceae.
GUGGAAAUAGCUCAAUUGGUAGAGUAAUACCUUGCCAAGGUAUAGGUUGAGGGUUCGAAACCCUUUUUCCACU